UGGUCUUUCAAGAGAGUAUAAUCUCUUUCCUGUUUUGCAGCGACCACUCUAUAAUGCCGCGACCAUGCUCAGCUGUGCUGCUAUAGCUGAAAUCAUUUCUGCAGCAACCUCUCGGAAAUACCUUGAAGAAGAAGCCUGGAUGGUUCCUUUGAACAUUCUCAGAGGGUCAGCCUCAUUGACAGCAUUACAGGAAGGCUUCGAGGUGUCUCCUUGUGACCAUGUUGUGAAUGAACCAUCCCCGGCAUCUCACCUUGCAGGUGAGGAGGCUGCAUCCUAACGAUGGCAGCUCAAAUGAUGACCAUAGACCCUUGUGAAGAUUGGCUCAUGGUUACAACGUCUCAAAUGAGUUUAUUUUCCUCCGUCCCUCCAAUGCCAAAGUUGACCAAGUCAAGCAAGUUUCCCCUCCACCUUCUUCUACAUGGCAGGUGAACUGCAUGCUCACCCUUACCUGAUGAGCGCUCUUUGUGGUCCCAGAUUGAUGUGGCGUUCUAUUAGAUUGAGGAUUUUUAUCCUGUUUCCCUAUUUUAGACAACCAUCAAAACAGAAGUCUGAGGCUUGGGCACCCUGCCUCACAUCUGUAAUCCUAGCACUUUGAGAAGCUGAAGGGGGAUGGACUGCUUGAGCCCAGGAGCUCAUGACCAGCCUGGGCAACACAGUGAAACCCCUCUACAAAAAAUACAAAAUUACAGGCAUCGUGGUGUGUACCUAUAAUCCCAGCACUUUAGGAAGCCAAGGUGGGUGGAUCACUUGAGCCCAGAAGUUCAAGAUCAGCCUGCACAACAUGGCAAAACAUGGCAAAACCUCAUCUCUACAAAAACUACAAAAAUUAGCUGAGUAUGGUGGUGUGCACCUACAGUCCCAGCUACUUGGGAGGCUGAGGUGGGAGGAUCACUUGGGCCUGAAGGUGGAGGCUGCAAUGAGUGAAAAUCAUACCACUGCACUCCAGCCUGGACAAUAGAGUGAGGAAGGAAGGAAGGAAGGAAGGAGGGAGGGAGGGAGAGAAAGAAAGAAAAAGAGGGAGAGAGGGAGGGAGGAAGGAAGGAAGGGAGAAGAGAGGGAGGUAGGGAGGGAUGGAGGAGAGAGAAAGAGAGAGAAAGAAAGAGAAAGAAAGGGGGGAGAGGGAGGGAGGAAGGAAGGAAAGGAAGGAUGGAGGGAGGGAGAAAGAAAAAAAAGAAAGGGAGAGAGGGAGGAAGGAAGGAAGGGAGAAGAGAGGGAGGGAGGGAUGGGGGAGAGAGAAAGAGAAAGAAAGGGGGGAGAGGGAGA
Molecule: long non-coding RNA, 1263 nt
Filed under: Aotus nancymaae (Ma's night monkey)
Lineage: Eukaryota; Metazoa; Chordata; Mammalia; Primates; Aotidae
Description: lncRNA (ENSANAG00000039146.1)
Source: RNAcentral